RNAcentral lists this ribosomal RNA (443 nucleotides) under uncultured bacterium. RNAcentral describes it as "partial 16S ribosomal RNA". It matches the Rfam family "Bacterial small subunit ribosomal RNA", at positions 338 to 795 of the family's 1533-position model. The record is from RNAcentral.
CCUACGGGAGGCAGCAGUGGGGAAUAUUGGGCAAUGGAGGCAACUCUGACCCAGCAAUGCCGCGUGAGUGAUGAAGGUAAUUUUAUUGUAAAGCUCUUUUCUUUGGAACGAAUAAAUGACGGUACCAAAGGAAUAAGCCCCGGCUAACUACGUGCCAGCAGCCGCGGUAAUACGUAGGGGGCAAGCGUUGUUCGGAAUGACUGGGCGUAAAGGGUGUGUAGGUGGUUUGAUAAGUUAGAUGUGUAAUACCCAGGGCUUAACUCGGGUGCUGCAUCUAAAACUGUUAGACUUGAGUACUGGAGAGGAUAGUGGAAUUCCUAGUGUAGCGGUGGAAUGCGUAGAUAUUAGGAGGAACAUCAGUGGCGAAGGCGGGUUCCUGGACAUUAACUGACGCUGAGGCACGAAGGCCAGGGGAGCGAAAGGGAUUAGAUACCCCUGUAGUC